RNAcentral lists this unclassified non-coding RNA (1983 nucleotides) under Cimex lectularius (bed bug). Its description in RNAcentral is "thioredoxin-related transmembrane protein 1-like, transcript variant X2". The record is from RNAcentral. Lineage: Eukaryota; Metazoa; Arthropoda; Insecta; Hemiptera; Cimicidae.
UAAAGAGUUAACUGACGAAAAGUUUGUUUAGGAUAGAAGUGAAUUCGAAAUAGUACGGUCGCAACGAACUUGGUCGGGAAUCGAGUCUUCACACCUGACUGAAGGUUUUCGUUCUUUACCACGCAGACCGAGUUCAGGAAUGAAAAUUAUUUUUUGCUUGAAUCCCUCUUAGCUUUGGAUGCGACUGAUAGAAAAGAACCGGGUCUGAUAUGGCGUUUUCCGUUAGUUUUUUAAUAGUUUUAGGCCUGAUAUGUCGAAACGUCGGCCUCACUUACUCCAAAUCGCAACUGAUCCGGCUGGACGAAGACAACUGGAGCGAUAUGCUCACCGGAGAAUGGUUGGUCGAAUUCUACGCGCCUUGGUGCCCGGCUUGUAAAGCGCUUCAACCACUCUGGGAAGAAUUUUCCACCUGGAGUAAAGAUCUGGGUGUCUCCGUCGCCCAAGUCGACAUUACCAACUCCCCUGGACUUAGCGGAAGAUUUAUGGUAACUGCGCUUCCGACGAUAUUCCAUGUAAUUAAUGGAGAAUUCAGGCGUUAUACAGGCAGUAGAGAUCGAGAGUCAUUUAUGUCUUUUGUCGAAGACCAAAAAUGGAAAACGGUUGAGCCGAUUUCAAAUUGGAAGUACCCUUCUUCUGUUCAAAUGUCAAUAGUCGCUUAUUUCUUCAAAUUAUCUCAAGGUCUAAGAUUGAUACACAAUACACUAACUAUAGAAUACGGUUUACCGCAAUGGGGCUCAUACUUGAUUUUUGCAUUAGUGACAAUUUUUCUGGGCGCUCUUCUCGGCAUGGUGUGGUUCGCUGCUAUUAUGUCUCUCUUCUUACACCCGAUGAGUUCUUUUCUAAUGCCGGUCUUAGUGCUUCUGAUGCUAGUCAUCUUGCUCUACACUACAUGCUUCAUGUUUAUGAUGAUACUCUUGCUUAUAUUGACGUCGUUCAUUAUUUUUGUGGUGACAUUCUUCAUUAUCUUCCUUCUGGUAUUCGAAAAGGCCUUAAUGUUAUUUUAGCUGUAUUAUUAUGGUUUGUUUAAUUGAUUACAUAUGGCCUCCAAAAUUACCGCAAAAGUCACCAAAAGGUAAAUCUGAAAAAGGCGGCGGUGACGAUGUGGCUGAGGAAUCGGAUGAAGCCGAUGAAGAGAUCCCAGAAGAAGAUCUCAUCGAUGAACAAGCGACUGAAACUAACGCUAUUAGGAAGCGUAAAGCAAGAAAAGCAGAUUAACUCAACAAAAUAAACAAAUUAUAUCCAUUAAAAAAUUUAGCAUUCCAGUAAGUGGUAAAAGGAGCGAAUAUUACAAUAAAUUUUCAUAUUUCAUCAGCCAAUUUGUGGCUUAUGUACUUUAAAUGUGAAAUAUUUGAAAUGUGUGUUUUUCUUUCAACAAAGUUUUUAUUUUGUUUCCAUGUCUUGCAGGUACUCAUUUACCUCUCCUUGUAAGUAAUAACACCAACUGAUAAAUAAUUAAGAGUGUAUAAAUAUAAAAUAGGUUAUAACUAAAGAGCGAUUAUGAAAAUAUUAAACUCGUGGAAUCUUGUGUUUUAAAGUUUGCAUUUAAAACAUUCGUUUGUCUAUAAGAAGAUUGUAUGCUUAGAUGUAUAUUGAGGCUAAUUUGAACAAACUGUGAGCUAGAGAAAAUCUGCUCUGUUUUAUUGCGUAUAAUUUUUAUUUACAAAGAAAAAAAAAGAAGGCUUUAUGUGUGCUUUUAUAUUAAUUUUUUAUACAUAACUUUGUUGUGCUAUUAUUUAUAAAACAUUUUCCUCUUAUCUGAGUGAGAGAUUCAUUUAGUUUAUUAGGUUAGAAUGAAAUAGUAACAUUAAUAGAAAUUGUAUAAAGGGCAGUUCGAACAAUAAGCAUAGUGUUACAAUAAACUAAACUAUAAUUUUAUACACAAAAUAUAAAAUAAUUAUUUAUUCACAAUUAUGUUUGUACAAAGUCCAAUGUUCAUACAUUGUAACAAAUAAACUUUUUGAGCACUAGUUUAUGAAAAAUCCA